Molecule: ribosomal RNA, 322 nt
Filed under: uncultured eukaryote
Lineage: Eukaryota
Description: partial 18S ribosomal RNA
Rfam family: Eukaryotic small subunit ribosomal RNA
Source: RNAcentral
CCCUUAGAUGUCCUGGGCCGCACGCGCGCUACACUGACAUGUUCAACAAGUUUCGCCUAGUUCGACAGGACUGGGAAAUCUUUGAACGCAUGUCGUGAUAGGGAUAGAUCAUUGCAAUUAUUGAUCUUGAACGAGGAAUUCCUAGUAAACGCGAGUCAUCAGCUCGCAUUGAUUACGUCCCUGCCCUUUGUACACACCGCCCGUCGCACCUACCGAUUGAAUGUUUCGGUGAAGAUUCCGGAUAGGACUGAUUUGAUUUAUUUCAUUUCUGACCUAAAAGCUAUCUAAACCUCAACAUUUAGAGGAAGGUGAAGUCGUAACA